AGCGAACGCUGGCGGCAGGCCUAACACAUGCAAGUCGAACGAACCUUUCGGGGUUAGUGGCGGACGGGUGCGUAACACGUGGGAACGUGCCCUUAGGUUCGGAAUAACUCAGGGAAACUUGUGCUAAUACCGAAUGUGCCCUUCGGGGGAAAGAUUUAUCGCCUUUAGAGCGGCCCGCGUCUGAUUAGCUAGUUGGUUGAGGUAAUGGCUCACCAAGGCGACGAUCAGUAGCUGGUCUGAGAGGAUGAUCAGCCACAUUGGGACUGAGACACGGCCCAAACUCCUACGGGAGGCAGCAGUGGGGAAUAUUGCGCAAUGGGCGAAAGCCUGACGCAGCCAUGCCGCGUGAAUGAUGAAGGUCUUAGGAUUGUAAAAUUCUUUCACCGGGGACGAUAAUGACGGUACCCGGAGAAGAAGCCCCGGCUAACUUCGUG
This 434-nucleotide ribosomal RNA is filed under the name uncultured bacterium. Its description in RNAcentral is "partial 16S ribosomal RNA". It matches the Rfam family "Bacterial small subunit ribosomal RNA", at positions 29 to 507 of the family's 1533-position model. The record is from RNAcentral.